This 22-nucleotide microRNA is filed under the name Pan troglodytes (chimpanzee). RNAcentral describes it as "ptr-miR-944". Its record names the gene ptr-miR-944. RNAcentral also lists the same sequence under 1 other name. Lineage: Eukaryota; Metazoa; Chordata; Mammalia; Primates; Hominidae. The record is from miRBase by way of RNAcentral.
AAAUUAUUGUACAUCGGAUGAG